RNAcentral lists this ribosomal RNA (467 nucleotides) under uncultured bacterium. RNAcentral's name for it is "SSU rRNA". It matches the Rfam family "Bacterial small subunit ribosomal RNA", at positions 26 to 518 of the family's 1533-position model. The record is from RNAcentral.
AGGACUAACGCUGGCGGCGUGCCUAACACAUGCAAGUCGAACGAGAGUAGCAAUACUCUAGUGGCAGACGGGUGAGUAACACGUGGUCAACCUACCUCUAUGUGGGGGAUAACUAGCCGAAAGGUUAGCUAAUACCGCAUACGAUCGUCGAGCGGCAUCGCUUGACGAUGAAAGGAGCAAUCCGCAGAGAGACGGGACCGCGUCCCAUUAGCUAGUUGGUGGGGUAAAGGCCUACCAAGGCGACGAUGGGUAGCUGGCUUGAGAGAGCGACCAGCCACACUGGGACUGAGACACGGCCCAGACUCCUACGGGAGGCAGCAGUGAGGAAUUUUCCGCAAUGGGCGAAAGCCUGACGGAGCGACGCCGCGUGUGGGAAGAAGGCCUUCGGGUCGUAAACCACUGUCGAAGGGGAAGAUAUUGACGGUACCCUUGGAGGAAGCCCCGGCUAACUACGCGCCAGCAGCCGC